This 495-nucleotide ribosomal RNA is filed under the name uncultured bacterium. Its description in RNAcentral is "partial 16S ribosomal RNA". It matches the Rfam family "Bacterial small subunit ribosomal RNA", at positions 28 to 507 of the family's 1533-position model. The record is from RNAcentral.
GACGAACGCUGGCGGCGUGCCUAAUACAUGCAAGUAGAACGCUGAAGGAGGAGCUUGCUCUUCUGGAUGAGUUGCGAACGGGUGAGUAACGCGUAGGUAACCUGCCUGGUAGCGGGGGAUAACUAUUGGAAACGAUAGCUAAUACCGCAUAACAGUAGAUGUUGCAUGACAUUUACUUAAAAGGUGCAAUUGCAUCACUACCAGAUGGACCUGCGUUGUAUUAGCUAGUUGGUGGGGUAACGGCUCACCAAGGCGACGAUACAUAGCCGACCUGAGAGGGUGGUCGGCCACACUUGGACUGGGACCCCGCCCCGGCUCCUUCGGGAGGCAGCAGUAGGGAAUCUUCGGCAAUGGGCGGAAGUCUGACCGCGCAACGCCGCGUUAGUGAAGAAGGUUUUCGGGUCGUAAAGCUCUGUUGUAAGGGAAGAACGAGUGUUAGAGUGGAAAGUUCACACUGUGACGGUAUCUUACCAGAAAGGGACGGCUAACUACGUG